GCGGGCGAAGUGUUGUGGCUGCACCCGAGCCUUCCAAGCUCGUAGGGCGGGUUCGAUUCCCGUCGCCCGCU
This 71-nucleotide transfer RNA is filed under the name Actinomycetes bacterium. Its description in RNAcentral is "Actinobacteria bacterium tRNA-Gly". It matches the Rfam family "tRNA". Rfam says of the family: Transfer RNA (tRNA) molecules are approximately 80 nucleotides in length. Their secondary structure includes four short double-helical elements and three loops (D, anti-codon, and T loops). RNAcentral also lists the same sequence under 1 other name. Lineage: Bacteria; Bacillati; Actinomycetota; Actinomycetes. The record is from RNAcentral.